AGUGAACGCUGGCGGCGUGCUUAACACAUGCAAGUCGAACGAGAACGGAUUAUAGCUUGCUAUAAUUGUCAGCUAAGUGGCGCACGGGUGAGUAAUGUAUAGGUAAUAUGCCUCUUACUAAGGGAUAACAAAUGGAAACGUUUGCUAAUACCUUAUACUCCUUAUUAAUAGAAGUUAUUAAGGGAAAGAUUUAUUGGUAAGAGAUUAGCCUGUAUUGUAUCAGUUAGUUGGCGGGGUAAUGGCUUACCAAGACUAUGACACAUAACUGGUUUGAGAGGCUGAUCAGUCACGAUGGGACUGAGACAAGUUCCAGACUCCUACGGCAGGCAGCAGUGGGGAAUAUUGCACAAUGGACGAAAGUCUGAUGCAGCCACGCCGCGUGGAGAAUGACACAUUUCGGUGCGUAAACUCCUUUUAUAUGAGAAGAUAAUGACGGUAUUAUAUGAAUAAGCACCGGCUAACUCCGUGCCAGCCGCCGCAGUAA
RNAcentral lists this ribosomal RNA (484 nucleotides) under uncultured bacterium. Its description in RNAcentral is "partial 16S ribosomal RNA". It matches the Rfam family "Bacterial small subunit ribosomal RNA", at positions 29 to 523 of the family's 1533-position model. The record is from RNAcentral.